UUCAACGUCCGUCGAUACUUCUGCAAUGGUGAACAGAAAUACUGUUUGAACUGCAGACUGGACCUCAAAUCAUGUUUUGCAUCGUGAAAUAGCACCCCAGAGCUCAACAGGUUUUCUUUUUCCUGCAAGACUCUAUGGAUUAUUGAGAAACUUGUGAA
This is a long non-coding RNA of Nothoprocta perdicaria, 158 nucleotides long. RefSeq lists it as uncharacterized. Lineage: Eukaryota; Metazoa; Chordata; Aves; Tinamiformes; Tinamidae. The record is from RefSeq and is a predicted model, not a curated record. The transcript has 3 exons.